Molecule: ribosomal RNA, 429 nt
Filed under: Acidobacteriota bacterium
Lineage: Bacteria; Pseudomonadati; Acidobacteriota
Description: Acidobacteria bacterium partial 16S ribosomal RNA
Rfam family: Bacterial small subunit ribosomal RNA
Source: RNAcentral
UGGGGAAUUUUGGACAAUGGGGGAAACCCUGAUCCAGCCAUCCCGCGUGUGCGAUGAAGGCCUUCGGGUUGUAAAGCACUUUUGGCAGGAAAGAAACGUCAUGGGUUAAUACCCCGUGAAACUGACGGUACCUGCAGAAUAAGCACCGGCUAACUACGUGCCAGCAGCCGCGGUAAUACGUAGGGUGCAAGCGUUAAUCGGAAUUACUGGGCGUAAAGCGUGCGCAGGCGGUUCGGAAAGAAAGAUGUGAAAUCCCAGAGCUCAACUUUGGAACUGCAUUUUUAACUACCGGGCUAGAGUGUGUCAGAGGGAGGUGGAAGUCCGCGUGUAGCAGUGAAAUGCGUGGAUAUGCGGAGGAACACCGAUGGCGAAAGCAGCCUCCUGGGAUAACACUGACGCUCAUGCACGAAAGCGUGGGGAGCAAACAGG